AAUAAACAAGGAAAAAUUAUCUUCUUCAUCGACCUCCAACCCCCACGCUACACUUACCGCCAUCGACCACCUCCACCACAGCCAUCGAUCAUCUCCAAGCUCGUUCUUCACAGCCCUUCUCGAAUCUGGUAAUGGGAAUGGGAAUUGCUCAAAUCUUGUAUGGCAAAGCAGUUCUCCUGUUGGAUUUUUCUCUGGUAUGAAUAUUUUUUUUUUUUGUUUUCUAGCAAAUUUGCUAUAUUUAUUUCAGCCUGGAUUUACUUGUUUUAAUUAUUUACUUAAGCUUGGAAAAUAUCAUAGAUCCUUGUUUCUUCAUGGUUGACCUUGAGCCUAUUUUUGGAUCUGGGAAGAGUUAAAGAAAGUGGAAAACAAAAAUGACUGAAUGCUGUUCCAGAUUAAUCGAUCUUCCAUAAUAAUUCUGGUUAUCUUAUAAUUAGGGAGAAGGAAUAUGAACAGUGCAAUAUUUUUGGUGAAGAAUAUAUUUUAUGUGAAAGGAAGAGAUUUCUAGGACAUGGAGGAUUCUAAUUUUUUAAUUUGGUUAUGUUCAUGGCGAUUUGGUCCAUGGCGAUGGUGGCGGUGGUCGAUGGAGAUGGCAGCGUCGGCAAAUUUCUAGUUUUGGGAUUGAGGGGGUCGAUGAAGAAGAGUCUUUUCUUUUUUCUUUUUAUUCUUUUUUGUUUUUGAUUUAAUUUUUUAAUUAUUUUAUGGAAAAAUAUUAAAUUACAAUUUUGCUCUUUUAAAAAUUGAUUAAAAUGUGGUUAGAAUUAAUUUUCGGGCCAACUGAUGACAAAUUGGAUGGAAACUGCCUAUUGGGGCUUCUGUUGUUAUGAUUUGAAAUGUUUGGAGUGAUGACUGCAACGAUUGAAUGGUUAGAAAAAUGUCUGGCAUUAUUUGAAAGGUUUGGGAUCUCAGUUGCAAUUAUCCCUUAUUUUUAUGAAUUCUAUUUUUAGCUGUUGGAGGACUCCAAGUUUGCUUCUCCGCUUUUGUCUGUUUAUUAAAAAGUUGUUUGGGGAAUAAUAAAAUUCCCAAUUGUUGGAAUCUUUAUAAACGAAGAAAUGAUAGAAUAGGGUUCAUGGGCAGAGAGGAGAAUCUUGAUUCGUUCAAAGUAAUUAAAAAAAAAAAAAAUUGUCCUGCUUAUAAUUUCAAAAUUUUUCCUUACUUUUUACGCACAUUUCCCUAAAAAUCAAUAUUCAUUUUUUUUUAUUUUUUUGAAAAGUAUGGUUUUCAAAGGUUAAUUCCUUUUGGGUUAAUCCAUUGACUCUACUCUCUAUGUCUAAUAUCUUUUUAUGUUAUUGUUUGUCUAUGUCCAGUUCAAUGAGCUAUAUUGAAUUGUGACCCUUGAUGGUAGAUCUCGAGAUGCUAUAAGAUAUUCUACAUUUUACAUUGCAUCUUCUUAAAAGAGAGGGGGAAAAAAAACCCUUUUGGAAAGAUGGAAGUUACUUUUUGACGCCAAAGCAUUGUAUAAUGCUAUAUAAUUGAUAUUCAACACCAAUUUAGAUGAUAUUGAAUUCUACAUUCUAAGGGGAAAAAAAAAUUUGUCAAGGUUUUCGGGGAAUCUAAUUUUUUAACUUUUAAGGGUCGUUACGAAUGUUUUGAGUGAAUCCAAAAUAGGCACGCAAUUUUUUUAAAAGAAUAUUAAGAGUAGAAUCUAACCUAAAUCAUAAUCGACUUAAAUCCUAUAGAAAUAAUCACGAUUGGACAACUUUUUGGGGGUAUAAAUGUCAAAAUGUUUAAAAUUAAGGGGGAACCACGUUUUUCUUAACUGGCUAUUAAUCCCACUUUAAUAAUUUAAUUUGCUGUCAUGUUUCUCCAAAUUGAUUGAAAAACUGUCCUUUUCACGGACAAAAUAAUGGAGAAAGAAUCUUGAAGACAAGAUAUUGAAUGAACCCACAUUGAUAGGCCAUUAUAAAGAUGACAAAAAAAUAAAUAAUAAUAAUAAUAGUAGUAGUAGUAAAAAUAAAUAAAGUGAAAAGACGGAGCCAAUCAAUUAUUUUUAGGGUUUUCUAAUGGCAACAUACAUGGUAUCAUAGAAAAUUAUAUUAUUUGGACAACCUAUUACACUACAAAACAUUGGCUGUUUCCUAAUCCUACUUGCAUAUUCCUACAAGAUGUUUGCCUACUUUAGGGCUUGUUUGAGCCACAUUAUUUUUUUAAAAAAAAUAUUCUCUAACAGUGAUUGGACAUUAUUUCAACGACACAUUCUUCAAUAAAAUAAUAUUACACACAAAUUUAAAAUUUUUCUUUAUUUUUUAAUCACACAUUUCCCAUUGAUUUGACAUGAAUAAUGCAUUUUUUUCUUAAAACACGGCUCAAACACGGGCUUAGUAAAUAAUAUUUGAUCUUAGAUUUUUGCUUGUGCAAAAAACGCAAUAUUACUAUUAGUAUUUAAUAUAUGUACAUUAUUUGUUCAUGUUAGGGCUCUAAUUCAAUAGUGACUUUAAGUUGUUUAAUGCUAGUAUCAAUUAUUUAAUGGUGAUCGCAGGGGUGAGUACUUUAUAUUUUGAGAGUACUAGAAAUUUUUAUGUUAUAUGCAAAUAGUUUUUUAAUGAACUAGCUACAUAUGCUUAAUUUUCUUUAUCAAUCUAGAAUCUUCAAACAACAAAUUACAGAUAGUGGUAUCGAAAUAAGUUAGAUUGCCAAGGUCCAUCACAUUAAAUCGGAUCGAAACGAGUUAGCUUGUUUCAGACUUGUUAAUGGAUUAGCCAUCUUUAUCACCAUGGUGGUUAUGUUUGUUUAAUAUCACGAGUGAAACUGCUUUUUGAGAACUAAAUUUUUUGGCUUUCAUUCUUGGUGUUCGCAUAAAUUUCCCAUAGCUCCCCAUUUUCUCCGUGUUCGUAAAAAGAGCAUAUGCAAUGAUCUUUUUCUUCGGUUAUAGCUAUUUGUGAACAAAGAAGUUGUAUUUGUGUUUUGUGAUGAUUAAACUUGGGUGUUGUACUCUGUAUUUUUAGAGGAAUACAUUUUCUGUGUUCUCAAAAAGAGAUAUGCAUAUGCUCUUUUUCUAGUGUUAUGACUAUGUGUGAGCAAUGUAGUUUUUACAUUCCUUAUCUCCAUUCCUUAGCAAUUAGAUAAUAGAGCCAUUUUUUAUGUUAUUCCCUUCAAAAUUAUAGUAGACUAGUGAAGUAAAUGUUCAAUGUUGGAAAAAGGGGAUAGCAUGAUGUACUUUGGUCAUGGUUGGGCAUGCUACUUCCCCUAUUAAGCAGUUUGACAUGAAAAUAUAAAGCUCUUGUUGUCACUUUUUUAAGAUUUUGUCAACUUUUUGGAAUAUUAGCCACUUUUCGAGUUUUCGUCACUUUUCUCUAUAGAUGAUGUAUGACUAAGAGUUUUAGAGGGACGGUUGGAACAACCAUGAUUUAAGUUCUUGAAAUUUUGAAGUUCAUGCAAUAAAAGGCUCAACUAUGUCUUCUCCAAUGCAAGAACUUAUGGAAUUAUGAUUGUGGUCUAAAUGAUUUUGUCUUUUUAAAGCUUUUUUGUCACUUCUUUAAAUUUUUGUCUUCCAAAUCCAACUUAAUAUGUUAGUUAAUAGAAGGAAAAUAUAUAAAAAUGAAAAUCAACCAUCCAUCGGAUCUAUUCUAAUGUUUUGAUUUAUAUGUCAUUUUUUUGAGUAUUCACUUUUUUUAGUGUUUGAUACUCUUUUGAAUUUUUGCCAUUUUAUUGAAUUACUUCCACAUUUAAUACCACAGGAAGAGAGAUGGACAGAGAUGAUGAGGAUUAUGAUACAGACAAUAAUUGAGUGUUAAAUGAAGGCAUAUGUGAUAUGCUGAUGGAGGUAGAGAUAAAGAAGUAUUUGAUGAAGCAAAGAUAACCUGUAAAUUGCAUUGAAAAUAUUCAAUGAUAGAUGAUUUGUAUAGGAUUAACAAGCUUUGAUGAAGAGUUAUGGUGUUUAUACUUUUUUUUUUAUUUGCACGUUGUGACACUUUCAUUAAUAGUGAUAUAGCAUAUUGUGCCACUUUUUUAUUAAAAAA
This 3956-nucleotide long non-coding RNA is filed under the name Olea europaea (common olive). RNAcentral describes it as "long non-coding RNA (OEUR_LNC006092)". The record is from RNAcentral. Lineage: Eukaryota; Viridiplantae; Streptophyta; Magnoliopsida; Lamiales; Oleaceae.